This 717-nucleotide ribosomal RNA is filed under the name bacterium. RNAcentral describes it as "bacterial SSU rRNA". It matches the Rfam family "Bacterial small subunit ribosomal RNA", at positions 149 to 865 of the family's 1533-position model. The record is from RNAcentral.
CUGGGAAACUGGGUCUAAUACUGGAUACGACAUGUCACCGCAUGGUGGUGUGUGGAAAGGGUUUUACUGGUUUUGGAUGGGCUCACGGCCUAUCAGCUUGUUGGUGGGGUAAUGGCUCACCAAGGCGACGACGGGUAGCCGGCCUGAGAGGGUGACCGGCCACACUGGGACUGAGACACGGCCCAGACUCCUACGGGAGGCAGCAGUGGGGAAUAUUGCACAAUGGGCGGAAGCCUGAUGCAGCGACGCCGCGUGAGGGAUGACGGCCUUCGGGUUGUAAACCUCUUUCAGCACGGAAGAAGCGAAAGUGACGGUACGUGCAGAAGAAGCGCCGGCUAACUACGUGCCAGCAGCCGCGAUAAUACGUAGGGCGCAAGCGUUGUCCGGAAUUAUUGGGCGUAAAGAGCUCGUAGGCGGUUUGUCGCGUCUGCUGUGAAAGCCCGGGGCUUAACCCCGGGUGUGCAGUGGGUACGGGCAGACUUGAGUGCAGUAGGGGAGACUGGAAUUCCUGGUGUAGCGGUGAAAUGCGCAGAUAUCAGGAGGAACACCGAUGGCGAAGGCAGGUCUCUGGGCUGUUACUGACGCUUGAGGAGCGAAAGCAUGGGGAGCGAACAGGGAUUAGAUACCCCUGGUAGUCCAUGCCGUAAAACGUUGGGGCACUAGGUGUGGGGGAACAUUUCCACGUUUUUCCGCGCCCGUAGCUAACGCAUUUAAAGU